Molecule: long non-coding RNA, 1104 nt
Filed under: Cyanistes caeruleus (blue tit)
Lineage: Eukaryota; Metazoa; Chordata; Aves; Passeriformes; Paridae
Description: lncRNA (ENSCCEG00000007777.1)
Source: RNAcentral
AUGUUUUGGAUAUUCUAUUCAUUUUUGGGAAGCAAACUGACAAAGGACAAACCAGUUGUGUCCGUGCACAGAAAUCUUUAUUUCCCGUCACAUUUAUGGCACAGAGGAGCCACCUGGGAGUUCACAGCACAGGGAUGCAGCACCGAGGGAACACAAAGGACGGGGAUGUGCUGGGAGCAAGCUUGGAGUGCAAAGACUCGGCUGUUCCCGAUGGGAACCGGAGCUGCCCAGGGCUGUUACUUCUGCUGGCAGGGCCAGUGGGAGCUCUGCUUGGUCUGGUGGGACACCACGCUGGGGAUGACAAUGGGACAUUUAUGCUGGCUGGACUGGGAGGAGCCUCCGCCGCCACCUCCAGAGCUGAUGAUGAUGGUCUGGCCUGAGGAGCCACCACCGGAUCCUCCACCGCAGCACCCAGAGGAUCCACCACCGCCUCCCCCUCCCAUGAUGAUCUGCCCUCCUGAAGAGCCACCACCAGAUCCUCCUCCGCAGCAUCCGGAGGAGCCUCCUCCUCCUCCACCGCCAGAGCUGAUGAUGAUCUUCUGGGCUGAUCCCCCACUGCCACCACCGGAUCCUCCACCGCAGCACCCAGAGGAUCCUCCACCACCUCCACCUCCCAUCAUGCUCUUUGAAGAUCCACCACCAGAUCCUCCCCCGCAGCAUCCAGAGGAUCCACCACCACCUCCACCUCCCAUUAUGAUCUUCAUCCCAGAGGAUCCACCUCCACCUCCACCUCCCAUCAUACUCUUUGAAGAGCCACCACCAGAUCCUCCACCGCAGCAUCCGGAGGAUCCACCACCGCCUCCACCUCCACCUCCCAUGAUGCUCUUUGAGGAGCCACCGCUGGAUCCUCCACCGCAGCAUCCAGAGGAUCCACCACCGCCUCCACCUCCCAUUAUGAUCUUCAUCCCAGAAGAUCCACCACCAGAUCCUCCACCGCAGCAUCCAGAGGAUCCACCACUGCCUCCACCUCCCAUCAUACUCUUUGAAGAGCCACCACCAGAUCCUCCACCACAGCAUCCAGAGGAUCCACCACCGCCUCCACCUCCCAUCAUGCUCUUUGAGGAGCCAAGAGGAUCCUCCACCACCUCCCAUCAUGCUCUUUGA